Molecule: transfer RNA, 83 nt
Filed under: Crassvirales sp.
Lineage: Duplodnaviria; Heunggongvirae; Uroviricota; Caudoviricetes; Crassvirales
Description: tRNA-Leu
Rfam family: tRNA
About the family: Transfer RNA (tRNA) molecules are approximately 80 nucleotides in length. Their secondary structure includes four short double-helical elements and three loops (D, anti-codon, and T loops). Further hydrogen bonds mediate the characteristic L-shaped molecular structure. tRNAs have two regions of fundamental functional importance: the anti-codon, which is responsible for specific mRNA codon recognition, and the 3' end, to which the tRNAs corresponding amino acid is attached (by aminoacyl-tRNA synthetases). tRNAs cope with the degeneracy of the genetic code in two manners: having more than one tRNA (with a specific anti-codon) for a particular amino acid; and 'wobble' base-pairing, i.e. permitting non-standard base-pairing at the 3rd anti-codon position.
Source: RNAcentral
GAGGAUAUGGUGGAAUGGUAGACACACUAGCCUUAGAAGCUAGUAUUGAAAUACAUGUGAGAGUUCAAGUCUCUCUAUCCUCA